This 14472-nucleotide long non-coding RNA is filed under the name Homo sapiens (human). RNAcentral describes it as "non-protein coding lnc-ERP44-3:14". Lineage: Eukaryota; Metazoa; Chordata; Mammalia; Primates; Hominidae. The record is from RNAcentral.
GUCGCCAUCUUGGACUCGGUUCGACCAGGUCUGGUGACCGGCGACGAGGGGCCGGGCUCGGCGCCGGGGGUCGGGGUGAGUGGGUGCGAGCCGUGGGAGAGAGGGGGGGCGCUGGCGGCUCUCUUCGUCCGGCGCGGGCUGUGAGAAGUGAGCAGGGCGAGGCGCGGGCGACAGCGGGGCGCGAGGCCCGUGCAUGUGUGUGCGCACGGAGGUGGGGAGACGGUGAUCCCCGCCCGCCCUGCGGAAGGCCCGGCGGUUCUACCACCCGGCAGCUCGGCCAGCCCCGAGUCGCGUGGGGGCGGAGCUGCCCGCGGCCACCACUUCCUGAGUGCCGGGGAUACCCUUCCCGGACGUCACGGAGGAGCCGAGGCGGCGGUGGCGGCCCGGGGCUCAUCCUGCACUUGCAUCACGGGUGCAGCAGCAGCUGCUCUGCUCCUUUGUGGCUUUUUGCCCCGUUGAGUAACUGCUUUGUUAACUGAAAAUACCAUGACGGGCCAGUGUGAUCACCAGCUCCAGAUCUCAAAGAAAGUGAAGCUGUCAGGCAAGAAGAGGGAGACUCCCCCAGCCGGCUGCGAUGGUAUCUGGUGGGUGGAUGUGUAGAGAAGCACUUGACAGUUUCCACGUAUUACUUCUUGCCUAACUCUUCACCCCCAAGAAGAUUUAAAAAUACUUUUAUUUCCAUGCUGUAAAAAUUUCAUUUGUGUUCUGCACCUCCCUCACCCCCCUAAUCCUCCUUCAAUUAAAACUCUCAUGUAGAACUGGAAUCACUGUAAGCAGGAACCCUAAAAUUAGGUACAGUUUUUAGGAAACAUGACAUCUUUCAAUGAAUUUAUUCAAUAAACUACAUUUUCUAAAUGUUAAUAUGUAUGAAAGGUCCUUGCCCACUCAGGGUUGUUAUAAAGCUGCUAAAUUGUUCAUAUGAGUUGGGCUCCAGUGACCGUUUCAAAGCAGUAUCCUUGUUUACCUAAAUUUAAAACAAAACAAAACAAAAAAACUCUUCUCCCUGGCUGAGAACCUCCAAGCAAAGUUUCCUCUCUUUGAGUGGGUGUGUCUUCUGGACCUCUAUCUUGGUUACUUCUGUGCAUCCUCCUCCCUUCUCCCCUCCACCUUCCUUUACAUCCUUUUCUGUUUUUUACAGCCUCACUCCUUUACAUCCGUUCCUUCCUUUACAUCCUUACUCCUUUACAUCCUUUUCUUCCUAUCAAGUGGCCAAUAUCUGUUCCUGGACUGCUCUGUUAGACUGAGGGCUGUUGUCUGACCUCCCUGAGCCAAUCAACUGUUCGUGGCUCAGUGCUUCUCGGGGUAGGAAGGGGGACUGACUGCUGGAGAGGUCACUGAGUGGCAGCCUUUUGAAACUCAAAUGGAAAUUCAUGGAAGCAGAGACACAGCUGUCUCGUAGACGGAGACACCAUCCUCUGCUUAAUCCUAUGUCCCUAAACGUAUGCUGUUCUUUAGGUGACCCAAACAGAAUUAGUUUUUCUCGAGUCUUUUUUUUUUUUUUGAAUUAGUAUCUACUGCUCUAUUCCUUUUCAAAAGUCGGAUUUAUUAGAAACCAGGCAUAAUAUUCUGUAAGGCACAUGUAAUGUGACUAUUUCAGUAAUCUCAAUUUCCUUUUUAAAAAAUUUUAUUAACUUUUUUAUCUCUUCUUUUAGGAAAUCAAAUAAGACUACCUUAAUCUGUGAAACGUUGAAAACUUUCUUGGCUCAGUCCUUUUUCUAUAACAGAAGAGAGACAUUUAUAUGUCACUAGUUUACAUACACGAAGUUAAGUUUCUGCUUUCAUGAUGCUUAUAGCAGCCAGCCUGUUAAAGAAGUAUCUAAAUUAACCAUUACGGAUUCACUGGAUAGUUACCUUUCAUUUUGUUUUGGAUUUGUAGGCCUAAUCUGCCUGCAAGAAAGAACUAUUUCUCUUAGAAAAUAAAAUAUGAAAUUUGGGGGAAACUUAUGUGUGAUAUAAAGCAAUUGUUUUAAAUUGCUUUAAAUGCUCUUCUGAUGAAGUAAAGACGUAUAAUCUUAUUGCUUUUACUAAUAUAUAGAGAUGAUGAUUUCUUAUUAAUGCAAAUAUUGGGUGAGGAAUGGUGAAAUAAAAAUUCUAAGCCAGAAGUUGUUACCUAGGGUGAAAACAGGAAAGAAAAGUAAAAAAUUGUAAGUUCAAGUUUUGUGGAAUCAAUGUAGAAGUUCUAUACUAUAUUUAAGGUACAUAUAUAAAAUUUAGUAACUUCAGCUGACAUUGAUUUAUACACGAGAUGUACCUGGCUCAGUAACCUGCAAUCAUUAUAGUAAGUUUCUAUCUGACCUACAUGCUUGCCAUUCGUUAUCAAUUCCAUCAUUGCCAGAUUAGUCUUCCUAAAAUUUAGAUUUUGUUAUAUAACUUCUGGCCUCAAAAGUCUUCAGCAGCUGGAUAUUUUCUCCAAAAUCAAACCUAGAGCCUCUUUUAUUUCCACAGAAUUUUCCUGUCCUAGUCAAACUGGUGUUCUCACUGUUCUUCAAACUUCCUUUCAACCUCCCACAUUUGUUGAUAGUUUUCCUUUUUAUGGCAUCCCCUCCUUCCUCUUCUUCUCCACUAAUUGAAAUUUACUCUUCCUCUAAAACUAGCCCAAGAAGUGAACUCAGAUUUACUUUACAAAGUCUUUCACAGAGUCUUUCACAAAGUUCUUAUUUUUCUGCCUUCUUUUUGUGCUCUUGUGUCCAUGGUCUAUUCCCUUGUCAAAGUGUAAGCUUCAAAAGCAUACCCCACACAUCUUUGAAAUCCCUGUGGCACCUAAGAAUGUUCGAUAUGGACAGUAAAUGUCCAUAAAAUAUUGCCUCCUUUAAUUUGGAUAUGAAUAGAGAGAAUAGCCAUAUUAUAAGUAACAAAUUAUAUGGAUUAGUGUUUUUUUUUUUUUUUUUGAGAUGGAGUCUUGCUCUGUCACCCAGGUGGGACGAUCUUUGCUCCCUGCAACCUCCACCUCCCGGGUUCAAGUGAUUCUCCUGCCUCAGCCUCUGGAGUAGCUGGGAUUACAGGUGCCUGCCACCGCACCUGGCUAAUUUUUGCAUUUUUAGUAGAGAUGGGGUUUUCACCAUGUUGGCCAGGCUGGUCUCCAACUCCUGACCUCAAGUGAUCUGCCCGCCUCUGCCUCCCAAAGUGCUGGGAUUACAGGCAUGUGCCACCAUGCCUGGCUGGAAUAGGGUAUUUUUGGCACGAGUGGGCAUGUAUAAGUUUAUUUAUUGGUUGCUUUCUUUACUUCAACUUGAUACUCCAGAUAGAACAUACUUUAUCAAGGUGCCUGCCACAAGCCCAGACAGCUGCGUGGUGAUAACAAGAAAAUGGCAGUUUGUCUUUAUCUAUUGUAUCUGUGUAGGAAGAUUUGCUAUGAUUUUUUUUUUCCUGAUAGACUUUUGGUUUGACUCUAAUUCUAACCUCUUUCCCCUCUAUUUGUACUUUCUCUUAUGCUGCUUUCUCUCACUUAUGAACUAGAUGCUGUAGGCUAGGAAAUGUUAAUAUCAACUUCUUUUAGAAAAAAGUUUUUAAGGUUUGGAAAAUUGCGAACCGUGACAUUUUUGUAUAACCAAUUAAAUAUGAAAAUUCUUGAAUCUCAUCUUUUCCAAAAUAUAUUGAAAUAGGUUUGCAUGCUACUAUAUGCAGAAGUAAAAUGAGCAAAACAAUUUUGGAUUACGAUUUUUUAGAAUUUUUAGAUAGAAGCUCAAUAUGAUUGAAUAUUAAUAUCAAUGACUGAAUAUUAAAGUUUACUUUAACAAGGAGAAAGUAACAUAGUAGAUCAGGAAAGACUUUCUAAUUGUAGAAAAUUUUGGAAAAAGUAGAAACCUGAGAUGGAAAGAUUACUUAAUAGUAUAAGUGCCAAUAUUACUUUAAAAUCUCAUUAAAUAAUGUCUUUUCAUCCAUUAGAAAUAAUAAGAGUCAGGACAGGCUUGCAGUCUGGUUAAAAAGAUAGUUUAUUUCUUAGUCAUGUUUUCCUCAAUCAUUGGUAAACUCUGGAAGACCUCAAUAAUCUGGGGGAGAAAAGUUAUUAUUCAUGUGUGAUAAACCAAUUCAGGAUAUUAUUUAUGCCUACGAAACAAGAUCUGCCUUUUAACUAGAGUUGAUGGAUGAAGUAAAUACCUCUUUCCAAAUAUAACUGCAUAACCCUUUCCCAUCAUUUCCACUCUGAAAAAAACCAAAAAGAUUGCCUCACAUACAAGUUCAGUUCCUUCAGCAUAUUCUCCAACAGUGAGAUGCUAUAUAUCACAAAAAGUACUAGACUGCUUCUCAGAGGCCUGGGUCUGGCUUUGCUGCCAUGAAGGUGCCCAGCCUUGGGUAAGUUCAUCUUUUCGGGGGGCCUAAAUAUUAUUUGUAAAAUGAUAGUGUUGGGCUCACUUUAUGAUCUUUAAGGAAAUUUCAAGUUCUAAAGUUGAAUGCUUUUUUAGACACAUUAAAUAUUGUGAAUCAGCUGUGCCCUGGUCUCCUAAAGUGAUUGCUAUGGCCAGGAGACUUACAAACUGUCUUGUAUACAAUACAUGUGCUUUUAGUAGUAAUGUUAUAUUAAACUGCUUUGGCCUGCAUGGUAAUGAACUAUAGCCACUGAGUGGGAUCUUGGUGGCCUGAGAGAGUUAAUGCUGCCAGCAUCACAGCCUUCUGUCCAUGAAGUAGAAAUGAGCAGAAACCUGGAUAGUCCAAAAGUCAUUUUAUAUUUAGCUUUGGAAUUUGUUUUUGUGCCUUCAUUUGAAUAUGGAUGAGUCACAAAUUGACUUCAUACAAAUUAGCAAACUUUCAUUGGAAUGGAUUCUGUUGUUUGCUCCUCUUCAGUUCCUUUCUGAUCCUCACUGCAUGCAAAGCACAAACCAUUUCUUAAGUGUAGCAGUGGAGGCAGAACUGUCCUUUUUCUGCUUCUUUCUAGAAAAGGCUUGAUGAUGGUGGGGUUGCAAGUCUACAUCUCCCUUCGGAGUGUAAAUAAAUAGUGAAAUAGUGAGAAGGCAGAUCACAAGGAAAGUACCAAGUAGGUGUUAAGUUGAAAAAAAAAAAUGGCAAAACAACCAGGAUGAAUACAGUAGGCUCUAUUUGCAAACUUGUUAGGUUUGUGGAUGGAUAGACCUUUAUAGAUAAAUAAGAGCUCACUUUGUAGGCAUUGGGAAGUAUCUGAAUUUUAACAGAUUACAGGUUGAGGUAUCAUUUUAGUUAGGUUUAGAUAGUGAAAACAUGGUUUAUCUAUUUUUUAAAUGCCUAUUCUACAUAUUUAGGUAUCUGGUUUCCUCUUUAGAUCAUGCAAUUAGUAACUGAUUCUGAUUUUUUUACCAUAAUACAUUUUCCAGUAUUUAUUCUGCAUGUUUAUAGUUCACUACUGGAAAAAUUCUUCCCUGACAUCUGUUCUGAAUUAGUUCCCUUUUCCAGUUAUGUUUUCCUGUUUUAUCAAUUGUGAUGAGGAGAAUAGAAAGCCAUAUUUUAAAGAUUUCUGCUACUUAAGUUUAGUAAAAUUGAAAUAAACUAUGUAACUUUUUCUAAAUUCUGGAAAUUUGCAUGUUAAAUUACCGGUUUCAUUUUUUAAAACAAUAGCAUAAACCGGACAAAAUUUGAGAUCCAGUUACUGUAGUCUUUCAUAGUUGUCAAAUUGACUUUUCCAUAGUUAAAAAAUUUUUUUGAGAACAGCUUCUGUUGUCUCAAUGUCUUUAAAAAUGUCUUUUUGUUUCAGUUAUCUUGGAUCUAUGUAUUUGGGAUGAAUCUUCUUUGGGAUGAACUUAUUGAGUACUUAGCAGUUCUUGGCAUGCUAAGAGUAGGUAUUAAGAGGAAGAGUGGUGCUCCGUAAACAUUUGAUGAUUGAAUGAAAGCAGUUUGCAGGAAGCUUUAUCCAAAAUAUUCUAUUUUCUUUAUCUUAACCAGCCUCACGGCCUUAGAACUUUUCUGGGAUAGUUUCACUCGUUAGGCAUAAGAGAGGAGCGUACAUCACUGUGCUGCUGCACCUGCACUACCCUCUUCCACCGUUGCACCGAGUCUACAGACACUUCUGGUUGCCCAGAUUGAGGGAGGUACCCCUGAGUUAUAGCACUCUGGGACAUCUGCAUUUGAACUGAGAACCGAUUCAGGUGUCCUGAGGAAUUGUUAUGCCUUACUUUUUAACCCCAGGUACCCCCAGGAAUUAAUCUCUGGCUUAUCUCUCUAUUUUGAUAUGCCACUUUUGCUGCGAUAGUUUCACAAGAUUGUGUUCUUUUCUCUUUUCUUCACUGUCUCUGCCUGGGCGGCAUAUAUAACCUAUUCAUCAGUGAGUUCCUCAACUCUAAUUGAUUUCCAACUGUAAUCCUCACUUUGCUUUCCAGUUCUAGAUGUUACUAUUCAAGGCCUCCGAGUGCAUAGUUACUUGUCUAAUAUCUAUCACCCAUAGACUGAGAGGCUUACAUGUAGGGUGUUAACUAGGAACUCAACUUAUAUCUACUUAACAUAUUUAAACAUGUUAAGAUUUAAUUUUUGAAAAGAUAAUACAUUUACAUGAUUCAAAUGACAAAGCAUUUAGAAAUGAGAAGUUUACUUUCCACUCCGGUCCCCUACUAAAUGACCCUCCUUCCAGAGUUGUUGUUAUUGUUCUUUUUUUUUUUUUUUUUUUGAGACAGAGUCUCUCUCUGUUGCUCAGGCUGGAGUGCAGUGGUGCGAUCUUAGCUUACUGCAACCUCUGCCUCCUGGGUUCAAGAGAUUCUCCCGCCUCAGCCUCCCGAGUAGCUGGGAGCUGGGACUACAGGUGCAAGCCACCAGAUUCGGCUAAUUUUUGUGUUUUUAGUAGAGACGGGGUUUUACCAUGUUGGCCAGGGUGGUCUGAAACUCCUGACUUCUAGCAGUCUGCCUGCCUCAGUCUCCCAAAGUGCCGAGAUCCUUCCAGAGUUUUUUAAUGCAUUUCCAAGACACUACAAAUAUAAAUUCUGUUUCCCUUUCCUUUUUUAUACACAUGGAAGCUUACACGUAUUGUUCUGCCUUUUUCACUUAAUAGUGUAUCUUGGAGUUCUGUCCAUAACAGUGGAAAAAUAUCUGAGAUAUAUCUGAGAUAUAUUUCAUUUAUAAUGUAUCUUGGAGAUCUCUUCAUGUCAUUGUGUGAAUAUAUCAUUAUUUAGCCAGCCCCAUAUUGAUGGACAUUUGGGAAGUUUUCAAUCUUUUUGCUGUUUCAAGUAAUGCUACAAUAAAUACUUUUGUUAUAUAGAUUAUACUUGUGCAAAUAUAUUUGUAGGAUAAAUUCCUAGCAAUUGAGGGAUACAAAUUACAAGUAAUGCUACAAUAAAUACUUUUGUUAUAUAGAUUAUUUUAUACUUGUGCAAAUACAUUUGUAGGGUAAAUUCCUAGAAAUUGAAUUACUGGGCCAAAGGGUAUAUAUAUCAUAGUAGUUUGAUAGGUACUACCAAAUUACUCUCCAUAGAGGUUGUACAGUUUACACUCCACUAAAAAUAUAGGCAAGUGCCUGAAUACUCAUAUUCUUGCCAACAAUGUGUUAUUUAACCUUAGGUUUUUUUCCAGUCUGGUCGGUGAAAAUGUUAUCUUAGUGUAACUUUAAUUUCUUUCUCUCAUGAGUAAGUUAGAACAUCUUUUUCAUAUGCUUAAGAGCCAUUUAUAUUUCCUUUUGGUGAAGUGUGUCUUAUAUCCUUUGCCUAUUUUGGGAGGUGGGGGUGGUUUAAAAAUCACUUUGUAGUUGCUGUUUAUAAUAUGGAGAUUUGCCCUUUGUUAUAUGAGUUGCAGCGUAUUUCCCCGUAGUUUGUCAUUUGUCUUUCAACUUUGCUUAUGAUGUUUUUGCUAUGUAGAUUUUUUAAAAAAUGUACUUGAAUUUGUCAGUCUUUUAUGACUUCUAGAUUUAGUCAUAGUUAGAAAAAUCUAUACUACUCCAAGGUUAUGAAAGAAUUCCCUCACGUUGGCUUUUACUACUUUCAUGGUUUCUGUUUUGCAUUUAAAUUUUUGAUCCAUUUUUCCUGGUGUAUGGUAUGAGAGGUAGGUCCAACUUUAUUUUUUUCCAAAUGGCUACGCAGUUGUCUCAACACCAUUUGUGAAUAGUCUACCUCUACGCUGUUUUGCUUCUUACUCAAAACAAGACUGAUUCAUCUCCUUUUUUUUUUCACACCUACUCUGCUGUGACUGAAUAUGAAUACAAUUCUCUGCUUUCCUUCCUGUAGAACACCUUCUUCAGUGGCAGAGAUGUCUUUCUCCCUGCUGCCUCCCUGCUUUCCUCAGCAAUACCGCACGCAGCCUGGCAGUCAGUUAAUGUUGGAAUGAAUACGGGGUACUCAGAAGCUCUCCAGGAUUUUUCAUUGAGCAAUAACUGGUUAAAAAGAAAUCCUAACUGUAAUCAGGUUCCUUAGAAGACUGUUCAAACUGGAGAUGUCUUCGGGCUCUCUCUAGUCAUGGUGAUCAGUUAUUCCAGAAGCUAAAGGUGUACUACCUGGGUCCUUUACUCUAGAGGCAGUCCGAUUUGGGUUGCUUCCCUCCAUGCAAAUUACUCUCAUCUGCUACCUCUGCUUUGUCUGACAGCAUGGGAUAUUACCUUCUGUAAUUUGAGAUGGGAACCAUAAAAUGCCAACAAGGUGGUGUUGAUUCCCCAUGAUGCAAUGGCCAGCUCAAGAACCUCAUUUACUUGGAAAGUGAGGCUGUGGAUAAAUGAUUUUGGAAACAUUCCUUCUCAGUUUGAACCCCAAGCAGAUGUUGUUUCAUCUGUGGAACCUAGGGAAAACCCUAGCUUUGUUCUUCUAGGUGAGAGUGUCCAAGCAGGCAGAUGAAACUGAAUUUAUUUGAUACCUUUCCUUACUAGCAUUCUCUAAGCUAUGUGGGCUAGUUUUAUAGCUACCUGAUAAAAGACUUCCUUCCACUUUGAACCAUUGCCCUAGGCUAUAUUUCCUUUCUAAACUUGUCCAGGCCAUCUUGCCUAUUCUUUAUUAUUGAGGCUUACCUUUUGAUCCUGUUUCUUAUCUCUGCCUUCAGACUUGCCGCCUGAUGCUGGUAGUACCCUCUUUGUCCAGUACCAAUUUGACUUAAAAGUUAUUUUGGCCAAAAGCAAUGUGGUCAAGUACAAUUUAGCUGAAAGCAAGUUGGUUAACUGAUUUGUUGUAAUCAGCUAUUAAUUGAAACAAUGAUUUCGUCAAAACAAUGAGUUGGUCAAAAUGAAUAUCCUGUUAAUAGUUUUUGAGUAGUGGUAAUUUCAGUGUAAAAUGAUUAGAUACUUUUGGUCCAUUUUCUAGGGACUUUUCCAGUAUUUUUCUUUUACAGUUCAAGUUAACUUUCAGCUAUGGCAGCAUUUGAUUGCUUGUGAUUUCAAAAAGUUAAAGCAACCUAGCUACCCAGUAAUAGGAGAAUAGUUGGACAAGAGUAAUCUUAACUAAAAGGCAAUAAGAGGUUAAUUGGAACAAACAAAACACCCAGUGAUAAGAUAAAAACAUGUUUCCUGUAUUAUUUUUCUUUUCCCCUCAUAAAAAAGGCUGUGCAUAUGCAGUACAGGACAUUCAGAAAAAUGUAGAUAAAGACUAGAAGGAAAAAAGAAAAAAGCUAUAAAUUAAUUCACCCAGGAAUAACCACUGUUGUCCUUCCCUAUCCUUCUAAGUGCAUUUUAUACACAUAAACUCUACCUAUAGUUUGUAAUUUGCCAUAAUUUAUUUAAGCAUUCUCCAGUUAUUGGUUAGUCACUUUUGUUGAGAAUCAGAUUUUGGUUCCUUUGUGCAACUGUGGGCCAGGCUACCUUUAGCUGGGAAUAGAUUGCCUUUCUCUUUUCCCUUCUGUCCCUCAAUCCUGCCUAGGCCUGCAUCCAGCCUGGGCUCUCAAGGCCCCCCUGCCUGCUUUAAGUGAGACACUUUGUAAAUGAAACCAUUCUGCCAAGCCUUUCUAUGGUUACUAAAGAGGCCUGGUUCCAGAAUUCCUGUGGAACUCUCUGGUUAUAUAUAAAAAUUUUUUUGGAGUUCAUGCUUGAUAUAUGUUAUAUGUAUAUGUAUGCAAAUCAGAUAGAGUGAAGAGAUGGGAGGGAUUAUAUUGGGUCUCCAUUAAAAUAAGAAUAAAGAGGCAUUGCAGCAGAGAACUCCAUUAUCAGUGGAGGGAAAUUAGGAGAUUUUCUCUAAAACAGGGUUGGCAAAUAUGUGCUAUGUGUUGUGCCUGAACCUGAGUCAUGAUAGACUCACUAAUCAGUCAUGGCACUAUUUCUCACUAGAUCCAGACUCAGCUUUAAGUCUUUCUCAAGGUUGGGUUCUAGGUGGCUGUAUCCACUGUAGUUGCUGUGGGAGACAAAUGAGUUACUACUCUUGCUUCUAAGAUGUUACAUUAAAGUUAUUGUUUUUUGUUUUUUUUUUUUUACAGUGGAUUGACCAAGAAAGUUUUUGUUUGUUUGUUUUUCUUUGAGACAAAGUCUUGAUCUGUUGUUCAGGCUGGAGAGCAGUGGCAAGACCAUGGCUCAUUGCAUCCUUGACCUCCCGGCUCAAGCGAUCCUACUGGCUUCAGGUAGCUGGGACUACAGGUAUAUGCCACCACACCGGGCUAAUUUUUUUUAAUUGUAGAGACAGGGGUUUCCCUAUGUUGUCCAGGCUGGUCUCAAACUCCUGGGCUCAAGGGAUCCUCCUACCUUGGCCUCCCAAAGUGCUGGGGUUAUAGGUGUGAGCCACCAUGCCUGGCCUGACUGGGAAAGUUUUAAUAAAAUGUUUUCUAUCUGAUAAAUAAGUUCAUGUUGAAAAAUAUGGGAUGUGAGCAAAGAGUAAUUAUCUGGAUUUCAGGCAAAGCACAUGCCUUGUAGUUAAGAUCAUUGAAGCAGCAUAAUCACAUUAUAGAUUUGUUAUGGAGUGAAAACAAUGUCAUAAUAAUACUCAUCAGUAUAAAUUGCCCAUGGUAUGGUCAUGGUGAUUGACUCCCCAGUAUUCAUCCCACCGCAGGUGAUUUGUCUAAGCAGUCAUGGUUAAUCCCAUUUCCCUUGCCGGUGAAGAGUUAGGAAUGGCCUGUAACCUAUUCUGGCCAAUGAGAGAUGAAGGAAAAGUCUACAGACGGCUUGAGUGCUUCUGGGAAAGGAUUUAUUGAUUCUAAACAGAGAGAAAAGAAAGAGAUGAUGCCUCAUCUCCCUGUGAUUUUAUGUUUGAGUAUAGUGGCUAGAACUGCUCUAUCCAUCUUGGGACCAUGAGGGAAACUAGCUUUGGGGGGUGCAGCUGAUCUAGAUGAUGACAGAACAGAUGGAAGAAACCUGAGCCCUUGAUGACCUUCCUGAAUUGCUGAUUGUAUUGUACUUGGUCUGCCUUACCUCUGAACUUCCAGUUCUGUGAGAUAAUACAGUUCCUCAUUGUGUAAGUAGGCAUGAUCUGCGAAUUUGUCAUUUGCAGCCAGAAACAUCCUGAUGUGAUACCUACUUUGUCCCAAGCAGAUUCACGUCAGGUGGAUUUGAUAUUAUUUGGAUAGGUUUCUUUUUGCUGGGGCUCUUCCCUCCCCAUGUCUUCUGCCUUCAUAAAGUGGAUGCAGAUUCUAACUGGCCAGGUCUUGUCUCUAUCUUUUCUAAGGGGCUCUGCCUUAGACCAGGGAUCUUCAUAGGAAGCAGCAAGGAAUCAAACAGCACUCAUUGUCUCUUCCAGAGUCUUUUGGGUUGUUUGAAUAUCUGGUGGUGUGACUGCUACCAUUUGUUGUUCAUUCCUUCUUUUUCUGAUUCUGAUUCUGAUUUCUUGCUUAGAUCUUGGUCCUCACUUUUGUAUAUUUUGUGUCUCAUGCCUGACCUCAAGAUUGUUUGAUAGAUUUAUUUUCUUCUCUUCUGCAACUCUUUCCCCUUAUCUCCUUCAUCCACUCCUUCCUCAUCUUGUGACUUGAUUUUGUGGCCAGUGGAGACUAUUCUAAGCAGAUGGGUAUAUGUUAUUUGCCAGGAGCAAUAGUGAGUUACAUGAGUAAUCAUACAUCUAUUUGCUCUAGACUGGUAGAGUAAAAAGUAAGAGUAGUUCACCCCUUGGUCUUCUCAUCUAGUACCUUUCACUCAUGGCAUAGAAUAAUAGAACUGGAAAUGGUCUAGGAGUCAGAGCAUUUGAGUCUUCAUUAUGGCCUAGCCAUUUGCUACCUGAAAUUUUGGGCAAGUCUCUUAAGUAUAUUUUUUCCUUAAAGUUUGUUGCUAUUGUCUGUCUAAUUUUUAAAAUAGUAUUAUAGUGAUUCAAAUGAAAUAAUGAACCUGGCAAAUGAGAAGGUUUUUUUAAAAAAACACUCAAACUUGGUUGGAUUUUCUGUUUAUUUUCAGUGAACUAAUGUCAAAGUCUCUAAAUUGUGUAGUUUGUUAGUCUCUUUGUAGAAAGGCAACGGAGUAUGAUGUGGGGCAUAAUAGUACAAGUAAUUAGGGAUUGAAAUUUAUAUUUUAGUGUUAACUAGGCCUGAAAAAAAGAAAAAAGGCCACACGAUAUUAAAAAUAAAGGUCAGGAUGUUGAUCUUGAGGCUUAUUUCUAGUUCAACCAGAAAUUCUGGUCAGCCGAAUUAGGGGGAAAGAGAAACCAAUAAAAGAAACACCCCCCUCUAGUGGCGAGGGGCCAGAUUCUCCACUUGGUUGCUAAGAUGGAUGAGGGGAAUGGAUAACUUCUUAGGAUAUUUUUUGUUUCUUAAGAAUUCUGAGGUUGUAGAGUUAGACUACUUAAGGGAGAUCUUAGUUCAGGCUUUAUUUGUCAGGAAACUUAACACAUUUCUCAGGAUAACUAGUAUCUUGUCAGUCUCAUGUGAAAUUGGUUAAAAAAUGUAGAGGCUACUGUUGUUGGAAGAGGUUCACAGUUUACUUUUAUAUAGGCCACAUGGAGAUCAUGAAAAUUAGGAGACAUUUGUUGCUAAACUUCUUAUUGGGUCUGAGAUGAUAUAGUAGGUACCUUUAUAAUCCCAUUCACAGGGGGAUAAAUAUUUAAAGUUGUGGGUUAUGCCAUAGAGUAGUAUUAAUCUAUGUUUGUACAAAAUAGUGGCUGUGGAUUUCCUAAGUUUUGAUUUGAAAUUUUUACUGGUGAUCCUGAGAACCAAAUGUUUAACUUGCAUCUUGGGAAUGAUUUAAUUGCUACCUAUGGAAAGGCAGUGAAGUUAAGUAUAUUAAAAUAACAUCACCCAUACUUUAGUGACUCAGGAGGAGCACCUAAUGCUUUUUUUUUUUUUUUUUUUUUUUUUUUUUGAGGCAAGGCCUCACUCUAUUGCCCAGGUUGGAGUGCCAUGGUGCAGUUUCGGUUCACUGCAGCCUUGACCUCCUGGGCUCAAGCAGUCCUCCCACUUCAGCCUCCUGAGUAGCUGGGACUACAGGUGUGCACCACCACACCAGGCUAAUUUUAUUCAUUUUUUGUAGAGAUGAGGUCUCCCUGUGUUGCCCAGGCUGGUCGUGAACUGGGCUCAAGGGAUUCUCCUACCUUGGCCUCUCAAAGUGUUGGGAUUACAGGCAUUAGCCACUGCACCUGGUGCACCUAAUGCAUUCUUGAAGGAUGUUUCAUCUUAAGGAUAUAAAUCGUUAGUGAUAAUGAUUGUAAGUGAUUGUUACAUUUGCAAAUCUCAAAGUCCAUUGAAGUUUUUACUGUUUCAACUUCUGUUUGGGAAAGAUUAUUUUACAUUUGUUUAAAGAUUUCUGAAGAGGCAAAAUUUCAGAGAAUAAUAUUUUUAUAAUACUCUGUUAGAUCUAAGUUAAGACUGGAAUGCCAUUCAAAUUCAAUGGUUAAAAGGCAUAAGAAAAUAAAUUCUUAUAUCAGACUGCAUUAUCAAUAUGCCAUUUCCUUAUUUUUAAUGUCAAACUUCCUUGCCCUGAAGGAAAAAAAUUGAAGCUUGCAGUUGACCAGCCAUUCCAUAACUUGGAGUAUGUUUGGUGGCCUUUCUUAUGAAAUAGUAAUGGAAAAAUUCCAUAGAAAAUAUAAACUCGUGUGUGGAUGAAGUGAGAUUAUAGAGUUACGAAAUUAAUUUUUGUGCAUAACUUGUGGAGCUGAUAGCCUUAAUUUAUUAUUGUACUUCAUAAAUAUACUUUAUUUCAGGAAAGAAGAACUAGGUCUGGCAGUAGAUCAGAAUCUACCUGUUGGGGAAAACCAGAAAUAGGAAGAAGAGUUAUUAAUGGUUCAUUCUUGGCUGAGAAGAAUUCAGUAUGGAAUAAUUAAGAACUACUAUCAAUGCCUUUUACAAAAUGAGGUCAUUGGAUUGCAGAGUUGGCUUUCGAGAAGAUUUUGUGGCCUUUCUCAGCUGUCUAGGUGCUGUAGGUGCUGUGUUUCUAUGGCUGCAAGGAUGAAGGUAACAUGGAUGAGGGAGGCUGAUGAGGCAUGUUUUGGUUGUUAUAUAAAGCAAGGCUCACAAAUGCAGCAAUAAGGACAUUGAUUUUUUUCCCUUGGCUACUUUGCAGUGGAGAUAAAUUGCCACCAGGUGAAUGGUGGUACCUUGAUUAUUUGGCCCAUAGUCUAAAUAGCUUUAAUGGGAGACCUGUUUAGAGCAUCAAUUUUCUGUUUUAAAUAUAUCAUUUCAUUAUUGGCACAGAAUUAUGACCACAUUAAUGGAGAUAGAAAUAAAGAAGAAAAACUAAAAAUCAUGUCUUUAUUUUCCCUUGCUUCAUGC